Molecule: ribosomal RNA, 516 nt
Filed under: uncultured Bacillota bacterium
Lineage: Bacteria; Bacillati; Bacillota
Description: bacterial SSU rRNA
Rfam family: Bacterial small subunit ribosomal RNA
Source: RNAcentral
AGAGUUUGAUCCUGGCUCAGGAUGAACGCUGGCGGCGUGCCUAACACAUGCAAGUCGAGCGAGACGGUUAUGAAGGAUUCUUCGGAUGACAGAUUAACUAGAAAGCGGCGGACGGGUGAGUAACGCGUGAGUAACCUGCCCCAUACACAGGGAUAGCCAUUGGAAACGAUGAUUAAUACCUGAUAACACAUUUUUAACACAUGUUAAAAAUGUCAAAGAUUUAUCGGUAUGGGAUGGACUCGCGUCUGAUUAGCUAGUUGGUAAGGUAACGGCUUACCAAGGCGACGAUCAGUAGCCGACCUGAGAGGGUGAUCGGCCACACUGGAACUGAGACACGGUCCAGACUCCUACGGGAGGCAGCAGUGGGGAAUAUUGCACAAUGGGCGCAAGCCUGAUGCAGCAACGCCGCGUGAACGAAGAAGGCCUUCGGGUCGUAAAGUUCUUUUCUUAGGGAAGAAAAAUGACGGUACCUAAGGAAUAAGCACCGGCUAAAUACGUGCCAGCAGCCGCGGUAAU